UACGUAGGCAGCAAGCGUUGUUCGGAAUUACUGGGCGUAAAGAGUGUGUAGGCGGUGUUCUAAGUUUGUCGUGAAAUCUCCCGGCUUAACUGGGAGGGUGCGGCGAAAACUGGAAUGCUAGAGGAUGGGAGAGGUAAGCGGAAUUCCUGGUGUAGCGGUGAAAUGCGUAGAUAUCAGGAGGAACACCAAUGGCGAAGGCAGUGUUCUGGGCCAGUACUGACGCUGAGGAGCGAAAGCGUGGGGAGCAAACAGG
RNAcentral lists this ribosomal RNA (253 nucleotides) under uncultured bacterium. RNAcentral's name for it is "partial 16S ribosomal RNA". It matches the Rfam family "Bacterial small subunit ribosomal RNA", at positions 524 to 776 of the family's 1533-position model. The record is from RNAcentral.